UACGUAGGGUGCAAGCGUUAAUCGGAAUUACUGGGCGUAAAGCGUGCGCAGGCGGUUUUGUAAGUCUGUCGUGAAAGCCCCGGGCUCAACCUGGGAAUUGCGUUGGAGACUGCAAGGCUAGAAUCUGGCAGAGGGGGGUAGAAUUCCACGUGUAGCAGUGAAAUGCGUAGAGAUGUGGAGGAACACCGAUGGCGAAGGCAGCCCCCUGGGUCAAGAUUGACGCUCAUGCACGAAAGCGUGGGGAGCAAACAGG
This 253-nucleotide ribosomal RNA is filed under the name uncultured bacterium. RNAcentral describes it as "partial 16S ribosomal RNA". It matches the Rfam family "Bacterial small subunit ribosomal RNA", at positions 524 to 776 of the family's 1533-position model. The record is from RNAcentral.